CUACGGGAUGCUCCAGUGGGGAAUAUUGCACAAUGGGCGCAAGCCUGAUGCAGCCAUGCCGCGUGUAUGAAGAAGGCCUUCGGGUUGUAAAGUACUUUCAGCGGGGAGGAAGGGAGUAAAGUUAAUACCUUUGCUCAUUGACGUUACCCGCAGAAGAAGCACCGGCUAACUCCGUGCCAGCAGCCGCGGUAAUACGGAGGGUGCAAGCGUUAAUCGGAAUUACUGGGCGUAAAGCGCACGCAGGCGGUUUGUUAAGUCAGAUGUGAAAUCCCCGGGCUCAACCUGGGAACUGCAUCUGAUACUGGCAAGCUUGUGUCACGUAGAGGGGGGUAGAAUUCCAGGUGUAGCGGUGAAAUGCGUAGAGAUCUGGAGGAAUACCGGUGGCGAAGGCGGCCCCCUGGACGAAGACUGACGCUCAGGUGCGAAAGCGUGGGGAGCAAACAGGAUUAGAUACCCCUGUAGUC
This 464-nucleotide ribosomal RNA is filed under the name uncultured bacterium. Its description in RNAcentral is "partial 16S ribosomal RNA". It matches the Rfam family "Bacterial small subunit ribosomal RNA", at positions 339 to 795 of the family's 1533-position model. The record is from RNAcentral.